GCCCCACUCAUAAAGUAAGCUUAUCCUCAUGGACAUCUAUCAGUGCCUUGCCAGUUGCAAGGAAUGGGUGCCCCAAUAUCAAAGGAACCUCUUUAUCUUCCUCCAUAUCCAAGACAAUGAAAUCCACUGGGAAGAUGAAUUUGUCCACCUUGACUAACACGUCAUUCACUAUGCCUCUAGGAUAUAUCAUCGAUCGAUCAGCUAGUUGUAAUGAAAUAC
This 219-nucleotide long non-coding RNA is filed under the name Elaeis guineensis (African oil palm). RNAcentral's name for it is "long non-coding RNA (EGUI_LNC035619)". Lineage: Eukaryota; Viridiplantae; Streptophyta; Magnoliopsida; Arecales; Arecaceae. The record is from RNAcentral.